CAUCCGCUCCGCUACUUUCCGCCGUAAGUCCGGCCUCACCUUCCGCGACUUCCGCCUCAUCCGCCGCAUCGGCUCCGGGGAUAUUGGUACUGUCUACCUCUGUCGCCUUACAAAAGAACAUAACAAAAACUAUAGAAAGGAAGAUUGUGAUGAUGAUGAGGAGGAGGAUGAUCGGUUGUGCUUUUAUGCGAUGAAGGUGGUG
This 202-nucleotide unclassified non-coding RNA is filed under the name Hevea brasiliensis (rubber tree). Lineage: Eukaryota; Viridiplantae; Streptophyta; Magnoliopsida; Malpighiales; Euphorbiaceae. The record is from RNAcentral.